This 596-nucleotide ribosomal RNA is filed under the name uncultured bacterium. Its description in RNAcentral is "bacterial SSU rRNA". It matches the Rfam family "Bacterial small subunit ribosomal RNA", at positions 94 to 710 of the family's 1533-position model. The record is from RNAcentral.
AGUGGCGGACGGGUGAGUAAUGCGUAGGAAUCUGUCUUUUAGUGGGGGACAACCCAGGGAAACUUGGGCUAAUACCGCAUGAGCCCUGAGGGGGAAAGCGGGGGAUCUUCGGACCUCGCGCUAAGGGAAGAGCCUACGUCUGAUUAGCUAGUUGGUAGGGUAAAGGCCUACCAAGGCGACGAUCAGUAGCUGGUCUGAGAGGACGACCAGCCACACUGGGACUGAGACACGGCCCAGACUCCUACGGGAGGCAGCAGUGGGGAAUAUUGGACAAUGGGCGAAAGCCUGAUCCAGCAAUGCCGCGUGGAUGAAGAAGGUCUUCGGAUUGUAAAGUCCUUUUGGCGGGGACGAUGAUGACGGUACCCGCAGAAUAAGCUCCGGCUAACUUCGUGCCAGCAGCCGCGGUAAUACGAAGGGGGCUAGCGUUGCUCGGAAUGACUGGGCGUAAAGGGCGCGUAGGCGGACGGCACAGUCAGGCGUGAAAUUCCUGGGCUCAACCUGGGGACUGCGUCUGAGACGUGUUGUCUUGAGUAUGGAAGAGGGGUUGUGGAAUUUCCAGUGUAGAGGUGAAAUUCGUAGAUAUUGGAAAGAACACC